Long non-coding RNA from Ctenopharyngodon idella (grass carp), 2940 nucleotides. RefSeq lists it as uncharacterized. The record is from RefSeq and is a predicted model, not a curated record. NCBI's taxonomy places the organism in Eukaryota, Metazoa, Chordata, Actinopteri, Cypriniformes, Xenocyprididae. The transcript has 5 exons.
UCUUUCUUUCUUUUUUUUUUUUUUUUUAAAUCAUGCAAGUUGAUUUAGCACAAUACACAAAAUCACGCAAUAACUGUCUAACCACAUAUAGUCUUAAUUUGCAUCUAGAAAUAACUUUUAUCUAAUGCCUUUCAUAAUGCACACCAAGAGUAUUUCAUUCAUCUCAAUAAAUCUGACAAUUUUUAAUCCAUCUGAUCUUAAUGUUAACCUUUGAAUCAUUCACUAUUUCUAUAUAUAUUUGCAGUUUGUUAUGCUUAUUAUGUUUGCAAAGUAUUGACAUCUUUACAUUCGUGAAACACUAUAAUUAAAAACAAUGUUAUAAUUGUUGUAAUUUAUUUUACAGAGUUAGUCACAGUAUACAAUUUAUUAAACUUAAAUUGGACAAUAGACCUUUCUUUUUUUGCUUCUUUAUGUUGCUGCUGAAAAGUCUGAGUCUCGCUGUAUCGCUCAGGCUGCACUGCAGUGUCUAUUCACAGGCGCGAUCCCACUACUGAUCGGCACGGGGGCUUUGACCUGCUCCGUCUCCGACCUGGGCCGGUUCACCCCUCCUUAGACGACCUGGUGGUCCCGGGCUCCCCCAGGAGCACCAUAUCGAUACCGAACUUAGCGCGGACACCCGAUCGACAUAGUCCACUGCAGCCCAGAACCCCUGAACUCAAGCGAUCCUCCAGCCUCAGCCUCCCAUUAACUUGGAUUACAGGCGCGCGCCACUGCACCCGGCGAGAGCUGCGAGAAUCAGCGCUGCUACUGAAUCUAGUGCGCUCACAGCGACCGCUAGUGUGACAUAAAAUCGUUUUGCAAUUGGUUGCUAUCAUGUGACUGGGUCUCGCUGUAUCGCUCAGGCUGCACUGCAGUGUCUAUUCACAGGCGCGAUCCCACUACUGAUCGGCACGGGGGCUUUGACCUGCUCCGUCUCCGACCUGGGCCGGUUCACCCCUCCUUAGACGACCUGGUGGUCCCGGGCUCCCCCAGGAGCACCAUAUCGAUACCGAACUUAGCGCGGACACCCGAUCGACAUAGUCCACUGCAGCCCAGAACCCCUGAGCUCAAGUGAUCCUCCAGCCUCAGCCUCCCAUUAACUUGGAUUACAGGCGCGCGCCACUGCACCCGGCGAGAGCUGUGAGAAUCAGCGCUGCUACUGAAUCUAGUGCUCUCACAGCGACCUCUAGUGUGACAUAAAAUCGUUUUGCAAUUGGUUGCUAUCAUGUGACUGGGUCUCGCUGUAUCGCUCAGGCUGCACUGCAGUGUCUAUUCACAGGCGCGAUCCCACUACUGAUCGGCACGGGGGCUUUGACCUGCUCCGUCUCCGACCUGGGCCGGUUCACCCCUCCUUAGACGACCUGGUGGUCCCGGGCUCCCCCAGGAGCACCAUAUCGAUACCGAACUUAGCGCGGACACCCGAUCGACAUAGUCCACUGCAGCCCAGAACCCCUGAACUCAAGCGAUCCUCCAGCCUCAGCCUCCCAUUAACUUGGAUUACAGGCGCGCGCCACUGCACCCGGCGAGAGCUGCGAGAAUCAGCGCUGCUACCGAAUCUAGUGCUCUCACAGCGACCUCUAGUGUGACAUAAAAUCGUUUUGCAAUUGGUUGCUAUCAUGUGACUGGGUCUCGCUGUAUCGCUCAGGCUGCACUGCAGUGUCUAUUCACAGGCGCGAUCCCACUACUGAUCGGCACGGGGGCUUUGACCUGCUCCGUCUCCGACCUGGGCCGGUUCACCCCUCCUUAGACGACCUGGUGGUCCCGGGCUCCCCCAGGAGCACCAUAUCGAUACCGAACUUAGCGCGGACACCCGAUCGACAUAGUCCACUGCAGCCCAGAACCCCUGAACUCAAGCGAUCCUCCAGCCUCAGCCUCUCAUUAACUUGGAUUACAGGCGCGCGCCACUGCACCCGGCGAGAGCUGCGAGAAUCAGCGCUGCUACUGAAUCUAGUGCUCUCACAGCGACCUCUAGUGUGACAUAAAAUCGUUUUGCAAUUGGUUGCUAUCAUGUGACUGGGUCUCGCUGUAUCGCUCAGGCUGCACUGCAGUGUCUAUUCACAGGCGCGAUCCCACUACUGAUCGGCACGGGGGUUUUGACCUGCUCCGUCUCCGACCUGGGCCGGUUCACCCCUCCUUAGACGACCUGGUGGUCCCGGGCUCCCCCAGGAGCACCAUAUUGAUACCGAACUCAGUGCGGACACCCGAUCAACAUAGUCCACUGCAGCCCAGAACCCCUGAGCUCAAGUGAUCCUCCAGCCUCAGCCUCCCAUUAACUUGGAUUACAGGCGCGCGCCACUGCACCCGGCGAGAGCUGUGAGAAUCAGCGCUGCUACUGAAUCUAGUGCGCUCACAGCGACCUCUAGUGUGACGUAAAAGGGUUUUGCAAUAUCUUUACUUUUGUUUACUUUUGUCUGUUUGUUGCUUAGGUUUAUUAAUAUUAACUGUAACCCCUGUUCUAUUCCUCUAUGCAUCAUGGAUACCUGUGCUCAUGUUUGUUGUUCUUCAAUAAAACAAACAAUAAACAGAUUUAACAUGGGUUUUCUUGUUCUAAAAGUUUUUUUUAAUACUAUACAGUCUAAAAGUUAAUAUAAAGGGUAAUUUGUUAUAGAUUUAGUAGAUUUUAAUUUGCUUUUUGGAAAAAAAGACAGAUGGUUUGUCACUGUAACACAAGAUAUGGUAUGAAUUAGUUUUUGUCAGGAUAUUUCUAAUUUGUAAAAUCAGUUGUUUAUUUUGAUAUGGGUGUGUGUAGGCUAACUUUUAAAACUUUUUUAAAAACACUUGUGAUCUAUAACAUGUUCUCUGGAUAUAUGUCAACAACUUUUUUUAUGAAAAAAAGACAUGAGAAUGAUUUUUGUUCUUUAAUUUUGCUGUAUCAUCAGUAAAUGUUAAAGUGUAUAAUAUGUGUUUGAGGUGAAGUGCUUUCAUGUAUGAAAUUGCAAUGUUUUCUCUCACAACAUUUAU